This 484-nucleotide ribosomal RNA is filed under the name uncultured bacterium. RNAcentral's name for it is "partial 16S ribosomal RNA". It matches the Rfam family "Bacterial small subunit ribosomal RNA", at positions 30 to 507 of the family's 1533-position model. The record is from RNAcentral.
AUUGAACGCUGGCGGCAGGCCUAACACAUGCAAGUCGAGCGGAUGAAGGGAGCUUGCUCCUGGAUUCAGCGGCGGACGGGUGAGUAAUGCCUAGGAAUCUGCCUGGUAGUGGGGGAUAACGUCCGGAAACGGGCGCUAAUACCGCAUACGUCCUGAGGGAGAAAGUGGGGGAUCUUCGGACCUCACGCUAUCAGAUGAGCCUAGGUCGGAUUAGCUAGUUGGUGGGGUAAAGGCCUACCAAGGCGACGAUCCGUAACUGGUCUGAGAGGAUGAUCAGUCACACUGGAACUGAGAAACGGUCCAGACUCCUACGGGAGGCAGCAGUGGGGAAUAUUGGACAAUGGGCGAAAGCCUGAUCCAGCCAUGCCGCGUGUGUGAAGAAGGUCUUCGGAUUGUAAAGCACUUUAAGUUGGGAGGAAGGGCAGUAAGUUAAUACCUUGCUGUUUUGACGUUACCAACAGAAUAAGCACCGGCUAACUUCGUG